CCGGUCGGUUCCCGCGCGCUCCCAGCUCCGUGCCCGCGAGCGACGACUGGAAGGGCUGUCCUUGCUCAGCGGCUUUUGGUGAUCUCUCCGCCCUAGAAGAGGGCCACCUAAAAGCGGGUGCGAGAGGAGAGUGGGAGGGCCUCCUCUUGGUGUCCCCAGGCCACCUCAGCCCGGAGAGGUGGCGGAAAACCAGACUUGAUGCUUUAACACGUUCAUAGCAAUCGCUUUUUACUGAAAGGAGUUUCUGUAUUUAGCGCUGUGUAAUUCUGUGGAAACGUGCAUUUCUUGUCUUUGCGGGAGAGCUGUUCUCUGUGGGCGGAGACCUUCAGUCCCACCCCUCCCCAGGAGGCGCCUGCGGACCCUUCCCAACCUGCAGUCAAGUUGACCAAGAACUGACUGCAAGGUGCUGGUGGCUCUGGGAUGAGAGCCUUUUGGUACUUACAGGGAAUAUGACUCUUCCCUUAGAUAUCAAAUGGACCCAAUAUCUAGGGAGCAGCUUCUUCUCCAUCCAUCUGACCGUUCCGUUGUGAGAAUGCUGGCCCAAUAACAUACUCUUUUUUUUUCCCCUAAAGGAAUAAAAAAAUCUGUAUUUUUAAGAUGUCAAAUCUCCAGAGUUUUUAGAUGUUAGCAACUGAAUCAGAUGUUUUUAAACUUCAUGAGCUGAUUAAACCACACAGAUGAGCUGUCAGUUUACGACCCCUGGCUUGGCUUGGAGGAAAGAGUGAAGAGAAAUUCCAUGGCCAAAUCCUGGGGCACUCCAAUAUUGGGAGGGUAAUGGAGAAGGAGUCUGAAAGGCAGCAUCUAGGAAGUCAUGAAAGCUAGCGCUGAGUUGUGGAAUCCCUGGGCAGAGAAGGUUUCAGGUAGGAGGCAUCAGCUGAGCGGUGUGAUAAACUUGGGCCAGAGAUGUGGCUAUUGGAUUGGGUCACCUUGCAAGUCACUGGAGAAUGUCACUGAUGGCCUUGGCUUGAUUCACGUGAGUAUAUCAGGGAGGUGGACCUGACCGGAAUGGGUUAAACAGUCACCAGGAAAGUGAGGAAAUGGAGACAGCACAUGUAUGCAAUUUGAGAGAGGUUUUGCUGUGAAGGGACCAGAUAAGUUUGGGGAUAGAUAUAGAAAGAAAUCUUUUAAAAGAUAGUAGGGGCCGGGCGCAGUGGCUCACGCCUGUUAUCCUAGCACUUUGGGAGGCCAAGGCAGGUGGAUCACCUGAGGUCAGGAGUUCGAGACCAGCCUGGCCAAUAUGGUGAAACCCGGUCUCUACUAAAAAUACAAAAAUUAGUUGGGCAUGGUAUCGCGCGCCUGUAAUCCAAGCUACUGGGGAGGCUGAGGCAGGAGAAUUGCUUGAACCCGGGAGGCAGAGGUUGCAGAGAGCCAAGAUUGGGCCACAGCACUCCAGCCUGGGCAACAAAGCGGGACUCCAUCUCAAAAAAUAAUAAUAAAUAAAAUAAAAGAUGGUAGGGUUCCCAGAGCAUGUUUAUGUGCCAUUGGGAGGGAUAUGGUGGGGAAGAAAGAUGGGUGAUCCAGGAGAGAGGAGGCUUGCUUGACCUAUAUAGGAGUGAAAUCCAUCAGAAGAUAUAAGGAAACAGGGAGGGUUGACCUUGGAGAGGAACAGGGAUGCUUCCAUUCAUGAUAAGGGCAACAAAGGUGAAGACAGAUGCAAGUGCAGGGGAGAGGGAAGGCAAGUCCUUAACAGGAUUGCCUUGGUGGCAUUGGGUACUCAUCUGAGGUUUGUGAUCAUGAUGUUAAAGGUAAACCAGUUGGCCCAGUGUGUUGGUUUUUCUCCAACAUUCAGCUGCUUGGGUACAGACAUGAAGAAAAGGGAUAGUACAGCUUCUCAACACCAGGACCCAAUUUUUCUCAUUUCUUUUUUUUUUUUUUGAGACGGAGUUUUGCUCUUAUCGCCCAGGCUGGAGUGCAAUGGUGUGAUCUCAGCUCACCACAACCUCUGCCUCCUGGGUUCAAGCGAUUCUCCUGCCUCAACCUCCUGAGUAGCUGGGAUUACAGGCAUGCGCUACCACCCCCGACUAAUUUUGUAUUUUUAGUAGAGAUGGGGUUUCUCCAUGUUGGUCAGGCUGGUCUUGAACUCCCAACCUCAGGUGAUCCGCCCGCCUCGGCCUCCCAAAGUGCUGGGAUUACAGGAGCGACUCACCGCGCCCGGCAAGUUUUCUCAUGUCUAAUCCCAGUUACUUACCUUAUACAAUUAGAUACUAUUUUAGAAAUGUGUGAAGUAUUUGAAAAAUUUACACGUGACCCUUCUUUUUCUAGAAACCAAGUUAUCCCAUUUGCCUCUUAUGUACACAUUAGGACUCAGACAUAAAGAAAAGACAAACUCAGAGGAAAAUUACCAAACAGAUGCUUCUGGAAUAUUUGCAUUUUGCAUUCUCCUCAGCCCAAAUAGUUCCUGGUAUACUUAAGAACUUAUGUACUAGAAACAACAAAGCUGACAUGCACAUAGGGAGACCUUGUUUAUACAAAAAAUUUAAAAAUUAGCUGAGUGUGGUGGCGUAUGACUGUAGUCCCAGCUACUUGGGAGGCUGAGGUGGGAAGAUCGCUUGAGCCCAGGAGGUCGAGACUACAGGGAGCCAUGUGUGUGCCACUGUACUCCAGCCUGGGUGAUGAAGCAAGACCCUGUCUCAAAAAAAUAAAAAAUAGGCCAGGCACAGUGGCUCAUGCCUGUAAUCCCAGCACUUUGGGAGGCCAAGGUAGGUGGAUUACUUGAGCCCAGGAGUUUGAGACUAGCCUGGGUAACAUGGCAAAAGCCCAUCUCUACAAAAAAUUAGCUGAACAUGGUGGUGUGUACCUGUAGUCCCAGAUACUUGGGAGGCUGAGGCAGGAGCAUCACUUGAGCCCAGGAGGUUGAAGCUGCAGUGAACCCCGAUUGCACCACUACAUUCCAGCCUGAGUGACAGAGCAAGACAUUGUCUCAAAAAUAAAAAAAAAAUUAAAAGCUGACUUGCAUUUAAACUUUAGAUUUUCUUUCUAGUAACAUUAAUAAGCUAAUUAGUUCACUUUCUCAAGAUUUUACUUCAAAUCACCUUCCUUUUUUUUUGUUUUUUGUUUUCUUUUUGUGGAGAUGAGGUCUCACUGUGUUGCCCAGGCUGGUCUCAGGCUCCAGCAAUUCUCCUGUCUUGGCCUUCCAAAGUGCUGGGAUGUAAGCCACCACACCUGUCCCCAUCUUCUUUAAGAGUAGACUACAGGAACACCUUCUAAAGCUUUUAUGUAGGCAAAUAUGAAGCAGUGGAUUUAUUUUUUUAUUUUAUUUUAUUUUUAGAUGUAAUCUCACUCUGUCGCCCAGGCUGGAAUGCAGUGGCUCGAUCUCAGCUCGCUGCAACUUCUGCUUCCUGGGUUCAAGCAAUUCUCCUGCCUCAGCCUCCCGAGUAGCUGGGACUACAGGUGUGCACUACCACUCCUGGCUAAUUUUUUGUAUUUUUAGUGGAGACGGGGUUUUGCCAUGUUGGCCAGGCUGGUCUUGAACUCCUGAUCUCAGGAGAUCCGCCCACCUCAGCCUCCCAAAGUCUUGGGAUUACAGAUGUAAGCCACCACACCCAGCCUGAGGCAGUGGAUUUAGAGGGAAAAAAGCCUCAAUUAUAUUUAUGAUUAUAUUUACAACUAUAUAUUAAUUAUAUUUAUAACUCUAUGAUCUCUGAGGCAUCAAAAGCCAGGAAUGGGGUCCAAGUGGCCUUGAAGCCUGCUUUCUGAAGACAAGGACCCUAUGUACUGCUCUCACAUAGGGCUGAGAAAAUGCGAAGGAUCACUAAGGAAGGAAGAAAAGAAAAUAUUUUCUGGCUGGGCGUAGUGGCUCACACCUGUAAUCCCAGCACUGUGGGAGGCCGAGGCAGGCGGAUUACCUGAGGUCAGGAGUUUGAGAUCAGCCUGGCCAACAUGGUGAAACCUCAUCUCUACUGAAAAUAUAAAAAUUAGCCAGGCGUGGUGGCACACCUGUAAUCCCAGCUACUCGGGAGGCUGAGGCAGGAGAAUUGCUUGAACCUGGGAGGUGGAGGUUGCAGUGAGCCGAGAUUGCGCCACUGCACACCAGCCUGGGCGACAGAGCGAGACUUCAUCUCAAAAAUAAAUAAACAAACAAAAUAUUUUCUUGUCUUUAUGGUAAAUCUUGAUGUGUCCUACUUUAUGGAGUCAGCUCCAAAGAUGAAGGAACAGAAGGCCAAACAAAAGGAAUAGAAUGUUUGAGGCUGGAAAGAAACAAGCUGAGGGAAAAUAUGAUGACAGGCUGUGAAACAGUUGAGGUGAUAAAAAUAAGGCUAGGCUGGGCACGGUGGCUCAUGCCUGUAAUCCCAGCACUUUCAGAGGCCGAGGUGGGCGGAUCACUAGGUCAAGAGAUUGAGACCAUCCUGGCCAACAUGGUGAAAUCCCGUCUCUACUGAAAAUACAGAAAUUAGCUGGGUGUGGUGGCGUGUGCCUGUAAUCCCAGCUACUCAGGAGGCUGAGGCAGGAGAAUCGCUUGAACCUGGGAGGCGGAGGUUGCAGUGAGCAGAGAUCGCACCACUCCACUCCAGCCUGGCGACAGAGUGAGACUCUGUCUCAAAAAAAAAAAAAAAAAAGAUCUGGCCUUGAGCCUCACGUACAGGACCAGAAACCCAAUGUGGUUUGUACCCUAAGAGCAGAUUCCUUCCUCGGGGAUUUGUCAGGCUCACAGGCGCUUGCUAGAUAAGCAGAGUGCUGUUAACAACGGGCAAGUGGACCAGUGUCCUCGUGCUGGCAAAAGGCAUAUUGAUCCCCUAUAGGAGAGCAUUCGGGGAAGCCAAAUUACUAGAAAUAUUUGAUGAGCAGUUAAUUAGAUUAACUAGUGUUAGUUAUGUAACUUAAAUGUUUAAUGUCACCCUCUCUGGAUGCUAGAAUUAGAUUGUUCGGGAUUCAAGUCUAGUCUUGGUUUUUUAUUAGCCGUGUGGUCUCUGUUGAAUUCGUAACAACUCAACUAUAGAUUUCUCUUCUAUAAAAUGGGAUGAUAGGUUGGGCGUGGUGGCUCAUGCCUGUAAUCACAGCACUUUGGGAGGCCAAGGCAGGUGGAUCACCUAUGGUCAGGAGUUCAAGACCAAAAAUACAAAAAUUAGCCAGGUACGAUAGUGGGUGCCUGUAAUCCCAGCUACUCAGGAGGCUGAGGCGGGAGAACUGCUUGAAUCUGGAAGGCAGGGGUUGCAGUGAGCCGAGAUCGCGCCACUGCACUCCAGCCUGGGUGACAGAGGAGACUCUGUCUCAAAAAAAUAAAUAAAUAAAAUGGGAUGAUCAUUGUGCUUGAUACAGCCAUAAGGAUUAGACAAGAAAUAAAGCAGCUUUUUUUUUUUUUUUUUUUUUUGAGACAGGGUCGCAUUGUCCACUGUUGCCCAGGCUGGGGUGUGGAGUGCAGUGGCGAACUCUGCUCACUGCAACCUUUGCCUCAGCAUUCUGAGUUGCUGGGACUAUAGGCGAGUGCCAACACACCUGGCUAAGGUUUUUUGUUUUUUGUAGAGAUGGGGGUCUUACUAUGUUGCCCAGGCUGGUCUCGAACUCCUGGUGUGAAGCAAUCCUCCUACCUCAGCCUCCCAAAGUGCUGGGAUUACAGGCAUGAGCCACUGCACCCAGCCAGAAAUCAUUAUCCUAUGAUUCUCAGGAGAACAGUUGUAUUUCCAAGAUCUUCCUUGGCUCCUAUUGUUACCCCUGUAAAGCUUGCAAUAAUUAUGAUCAUUUACAUGUUUUUUAAAAACUCUUUAAUCAAGAUAAUCAACAAACGAAGGGGAGACAUAUUGAUUUUCUAAGACAUAAUGAGCAGGGAAUCUUCCUGCCCUCCUUGGGGUAAGGCCUAAAGUUACAUGUGAACACUCUGGUUUUCUCUAUACCUGUUGAGAACAUGUGUGAGACAUGAUGCAGCUCAUCAAGUAAUUAUUGAAUACUUGGUGUGUGUAGCUUCCUGUUCUAGGCACUGGAGAUUCAAAGAUGACUCACGAUGUGUUUCCUGCCCUUGGACUCAAAAUUUAACUAGUAAAACUGGUUAAAACAAACACACAAAAAAUUAAUGCAAUAACUGUUAUAGUGGAAAGAAAUGAGCUCACAGCUAAAGGAGUAAAUCACUCCAGGAGUAUCUCAUUUCAGCUGGGUCUAAAGGAUUAGCAAAGCAUUAACAAGUGACACGAAGACAUGUAAGGUGAAGAGCCAUGAUCAAAGGCAUAAAAGUCUACAAGAGUAUUUGGGGGACAGCGAGUCAUCUUACACCAUUGGAUGAGGGUGUAGAGUAGUGAUGCUAAACCUUUAAAGACAUUUGGAAAGCUUUCAUUGUCUGCCAACAUCAACUGCCAAGCCUAACCACUUCUAACAUUUAAAUUUUUUUUUUCCCCAAGAUGGAGUCUUGCUCUGUUGCCCAGCCUGGAGUGCAGUGGUGCAAUCUUGGCUCAUUGCAACCUCUGCCUCCCAGGUUUAAGCAAUUCUCCUGCCUGAACCUCCCAAAUUGCUGGGAUUACAGACACGCACCACCAUGCCCAGCUAAUUUUUGUAUUUUUAGUAGAGAUGGGUUUCACCAUGUUGGCCAGGCUGGUCUCAAUCUCCUGACCUCACGAUCUGCCUGCCUCGGCCUCCCAAAGUGCUGGGAUUACAGGCAUGAGCCACCAAGCCCGGCCUAUUCUAACAUUUUAAAGACUCAUCCUUCCAUAUCAUCUCCUGCCUAGACUGUAGGAGUUUUUUUCCUUAUUAAUGUCUGCUUUCUUCAGACCCCUGUGAAAGCCUUAUUUAUUUAUUUAUUUAUUUAUUUAUUUAUUUAUUUAUUUAUUUAUUUUGAGACGGAGUUUUGCUCUUGUUGCCCAGGCUGGAGUACAAUGGCAUGAUUUUGGCUCACCACAACCUCCACCUCCCGGGUUCAAGCAAUUCUCCCGCCUCAGCCUCCCAAGUAGCUGGGAUUACAGGCAUGCGCCACCAUGCCCGGCUAAUUUUGUAUUUUUAGUAGAGACGGGGUUUCUCCAUGUUAGUCAGGCUGAUCUGGAAUUCCCAACCUCAUGUGAUCUGCCCACCUCAGCCUCCCAAAGAGCUGGGAUUACAGUCGUGAGCCACCACGCCGGCCUAUUUAUUUAUUUAUUUAUUUUGAGGUGGAGUCUCGCUGUGUCGCUCAGGCUGGAGUGCAGUGGCGAGAUCUCGACUCACUGCAGCUUCCGCCUCCCAGAUUCAAGCAAUUCUCCUGCCUCAGCCUCCUGAGUAGCUGGGACUACAGGUAUGUGCCACCAUGCCCAGCUAAUGUUUUUGUAUUUUUAGUAGAGAUGGGGUUUCACCCUGUUAGCCAGGAUGGUCUCGAUCUCCUGACCUUGUGAUCUGCCCGCCUCAGCCUCCCAAAGUGCUGGGGUUACCCCGGCCAGCCAUAUUUAUUUUUUACCUCUCAGCUCAAAUGACUGCUCUUAAAGGUAUAAAGGACUGUUGCUAAACCUAUAUCCAAUGUUUUAGAAGUUGAUUUUGUUUUCUGUGCUGUUACUUACUUUUCCAAACAUGCAUGGAUCACCCUUUAUAAUCCAUCUCUAUAUUUUUCAUUUUGCAAAACACCUUCAUGUCUGCCUUUUCAAGUGAUGCUCACAGCUCUAUUUGAUCAGCCAGGCAGUUUUGUCCUAAAUUCAGAAAUGAAGUGACUUGCUCAGGGUUGUCCGGCAACUUGUUGGCAAAAUCAGAAUGAGUACAGUAGUCUCCCCCUUGUUCACAGCUUCACUUUCUGCUAUUUUCUGCUAUUGGUUACACAUGGUCAACUGCAGUCUGAAAAUACUAAAUGGAAACUUCCAGAAAUCAUGUUUCGAAUUGCACACCAUUCUGAGUAGAGUGGUGAAAUCUCACAACAUCCUGCUGCAUACUGCCUGGAAUGUGACUCGUUCCAUUGUCCAGCAUACCCAUGCUGUAUAUACUACCCACCUAUUAGCCACUUAGUAGCCAUCUCAGUUAUCAGAUUGAUAACACAUACUAUAUAUAGGAUUCAGGACUAUCCUUGAUUUCAGACAUCCACCAGAGAGCUUGGAACAUAUCCCCCAUAAAAAAUGGGGGACUGUAGGCUUGGUGUGAUGGCAAUCACGGCCUAUAAUCCCAGCACUUUGGGAGGCUAAGGUGGGUGGAUCACGAGGUCAGGAGUUCGAGACCAGCCUGACCAACAUGGUGAAACCCCGUCUCUACUAAAAAUACAAAAAUUAGCUGGUUGUGGUGGUGUGUGCCUGUCAUCCCAUCUACUCAGCAGGCUGAGGCAGGGGAAUCACUUGAACCUGGGAGGUAGAGGUUGCAGUGAGCCAAGAUUGCACCACUGCACUCCAGCCUGGGCGACAGAGCGAGACUCUGUCUCAGGAAAAAAAAAAAAAAAAAAGAUGGGAUCUCACUCUGUCACCCAGGCUGAAGUGCAAUGGCGUAAUCAUAGCUCACUGCAGCCUUUAACUCCUGGGCUCAAGCAAUCCUCCUGAGUCGCUAGGACUACAGGCACAUGCCACCAUGUCUGGCUAAUUAAAAAAAAAAGAAUUAUUUAUAGAGACAGGGUCUCACUAUGUUGCCCAGGCUGGGAAGGGCUUUAAUUGUGGAAACUUCAGGCUCUCAGGCAGACAGCAGAGGUAUUUAGGUGAUGACUUAUUAAUCUACAAGUAUGUCCUGAAUAACUGCUUAGGACCCAGGUCUAUGUUCAAGGUUAGGUACUACCAGAGAUAGAUAGAGGAUGUCCCUAGCCCUCGAGUGCCUUCUAUUUCGUUUUAUAUUAGUGUGGAAAUAUCAGACUAAACCUUGAGUAUUAGAAGGUAAAAGUCAAGGAUGAAAAGGGAAGUGUAAAGGUAUAGGCUACAGGUGUGGAAGGAAUGGAGCGGAGCAGUCACUGGACAUCACAGUAGUCAUAUGAAACCGCAUGCUAAAGCGAGCAUGACUUUCAAGCCUCUGCUUCUAGCCUUUACCCACUCUGGCCCAGGCUACUCUUGCUUCUUUUUUUUUUUUUUUUUUGAGAUGGGGUCUCACUCUGUUGCCCAGGCUAUCAGGCAGUGGUGCAGUCACAGCUCACGCAGCCCUAACCUCCCAGGCUCAAGUUAUCCUCCUGCUUCAGCCUCCUCAGUAGCUGAUGCUACAGGUGCACACCACCGUGCCCAGCUAAUUUUUGUAUUUUUUGUAGAGAUGGGGUUUUGCCAUGUUGCCUAGGCUGGUCUCAAACUCCUGAGCUCAAGCAAUCCACCUGCUUCAGCCUCCCAAAGUGCUGGGAUUAUAAGCGUGAGCCACCAGGCCCAGACUCUUGCUUCUUCUAAUGUAACUGCAGGCUCCUCCCUGCUUCCGGCCUCCUCCCUCUCACAGCUGCCAGAGUGACCUUCCCAAAGCACACACGUGAUCACAAAACCCCCCUGCUUCAAGCCCACUGGUGGCUCCCCGGUACCCUGGGAUAAAUUCCAAACUCAGCCACUCCACAAGGCCUCCCAUGCUCACCAAGCCCCUGCUCACCCCCUCAGCCUCAUCUCUAACUGCCCCCUCUGGCCCCUGGGGAUUCAGCUUGCUUGCUUCCUCCACCAGUCUGACCUCAGUCCUCCCUCCCUCUGUUGUCCCCUCCUCAGGCUUCUGUUCCAUUCCUUAAUUGGGAUCCUGGUGGUGAAAGUGCAUUCUAAAGCGCUAUGCCCCAUGGGGGGGACUAGGGAGAGUGUUUGAGUUUCCAGGCUUCUUCCACACUGAACAUAUGGUACUUUCACACUCAAAGUGCUUUUCAGGUUGCUUUUGACAUAAGACAAGGCCAUCAGUUGGGGAGGUGUAUGUAAGGGAAACCAGAGCUAGAGACAGGUUUUAGAGGUAUUCAUCAGAAGAUAUUUCUGGACCACUUACUGUGUAUCUGGCCUUGGGUGCUGGGCAUAGCAAAGGCAGAUGCAGCCUGAACAAAUAGAGAAUUGGCUGGCCCUACGCCAGAUUUGCUGAAUUGGAAUCUCCAGGGAAGUUCUCAGGUGAAUCUUAGAACUGGGUAAGUUGGAAAGCCCUAACCUGAUUUCAUUUGUAAGACAUAUCCAGGAUAGGCAAAUCUGUAGAGACAGAAAGUAGAUUAGUGGUUGCCUGGGGGUAGGGUGGAGAAUAUGGAAGCGCAGGGAUGACAGCUAAGGGGUGCAGGGUUUCUUUUUGGGUUGAUGAAAAUGUUCUAAAAUUGUGGUGAUGGCUGUGCAACUCUGAAUAUACUAAAAGCCAUUGAAUUGUACACUUUAAGUAUUUAUUUAUUUUUUUGAGAUGGAGUCUCACUCUUCACCUAGGUUGGAGUGCAGUGGCAUGAUCUAACUCACCGCAACCUCCACCUCCCGGGUUCAAGAGAUUCUUCUGCCUCAGCCUCCCAAGUAGCUGGGAUUAGAAGCAUCCACUACCAUGCCCAGCUAAUUUUUGUAUUUUUUAAGUAGAGACAACAUGGGGUUUCACCAUGUUGGCCAGGCUGGUCUGGAACUCCUGACCUCAGGUAGUCCACCUGCCUUGGCCUCCAAAAGUGCUGGGAUUAUAGGCAUGAGCCACUGCGCCUGGCCAAAUUGUACACUUUAAAUGGUUGAAUUGCAUGGUAGGUGCGCUAAAUCUCAAAAAGAGCUGUUUAAAAAAAAUAAAAAGGCUGGGUGUGAUGCCUCAUACCUGUGAUCCCAGCACUUUAGAAGGCCAAGGUGGGAGGAUCACUUGAGGCCAGCCUGGGCGACAUAGUGAGACCACCUCUUUAGCAGGGCAUAGUGGUGUGUGCCUAUAGUCCCAGCUACUUGGUAGGCUGAGGUAGGAGGAUCCCUUGAGCCCAGGAGUUCAAGGUUACGGUGAGCUAUGAUCAUACCACUGCACUCCAGCCAGGACAACAGAGCAAGACCCUGUCCCAAAAACAAAACAAAACACUUGGACCAAGUUCUAGAGGGAAGGCACCCACCUCAGACCUGGGUGGUUACCCAGUAAAAUUGUCAGCAUAUAUUAUGAAUGUAUGUUCCAGAGGGUACAAAGUAAAUAAGCAAUUGCAGGCCAGGUGCGGUGGCUCACGCCUGUCAUCCCGCACUUUGGGCGGCCAGGGUGGGUGGAUCACCUGAGGUAAGGAGUUUGAGACCAGCCUGACCAACAUGGAGAAACGCCGUCUCUACUAAAAAUACAAAAUUAGCCGGGUGUGGUGGCACAUGCCUGUAAUCCCAGCUACUCGGGAGGCUGAGGCAGGACAAUCGCUUGAACCCAGGAGGCAGAGGUUGUGGUGAGCUGAGAUCACGCCAUUGCACUCCAGCCUGGGCAACAAGAGUGAAACUCUAUCUCAAAAAAUAAAUAAAUAAAUAAAAUAAGCAAUUGCAAUGAAGUGUGAUUAGUCUUAUAGAAGGGAAAGCGCAGGCUCCUGUGACAAGAGCAGGUGGGCAUGCAGCUUGCUAAAGAAAUAUAUGGGCCAGGUGCCGUGGCUCACACCUGUAAUCCCAGCAGUUUGGGAGGCUGAGGCGGGUGGGUCACUUGGGGUUAGGAGUUAGAGACCAGCCUGGCCAACAAGGUGAAACCUCGUCUCUACUAAAAAUACAAAAAUUAGCUGGUUGUGGUGGCGGGCAUCUGUAAUCCCAGCAACUCCAGAGGCUGAGGCACAAGAAUUGCUUGAACCCGGGAGGCAGAAGUUACAGUGAGCCGAGAUUGCGCCACUGCACUCAGCCUGGGCAGCAGCGCAAGACUCCAUAUCAAAAAAAUAUAUAUUUAGGGCAUUUAAUUGGGAGGAUUCUGAUGGCUGGGAUGUGGGUACAGAGGAAAGAGUAAGGAUGAGGCUCUGUUAUAUGGCUUGGGUACCUGGGAAAUUGGUAACCCCUAGAGCUGUUGGAGGAGAAACAAGUUUUGAGAAGAUGUUGAGUCUGAUUUUGAGCAUGUUGAGUUUGAAAUGCCCCAGAUGUUCAAAAGGAAGUGUCCAGUGAGCAGCUGGAUGUGGGGGUCUGGAAGCAAGGUAAGAACCAUGUGAAUGAUUGGCAUGCAGCCUCAGCAUGUGGAUGGAAGCCAGCAGAAUGGGGAGGUCAUCUAGGGGUAUGUUUUGAGAGAGAGGAAAGGGCCUAGAAUGGAACCCUGUGGGGCGAUUUUUAUUUUUUAAGUAGAGACAACAUGGGGUUUCACCAUGUUAAGACAUGCCUGAGGAGGAGGAGAAGGUUGUAAGGAAAUUAAGAGGAGACAGUUAGAAACCUAGGUGUUGCGUAUAGCAAUUCAGCUGCUCUCAGUCAGCAUUCACUGAGUGUCCAUAUGCCCUGGGUGUAUCUGGAGACAAGUGAGACUUGACCCUUGACAUUAAACUCAGAGUAGUGGCCAUCACCCAAUUGCCGUCAACCUUCUGAAACAAGAGACCCCUUUCUCGCAGGCCAAUGUCAGUCCUAUUUUCUAAAUGAUAGAUUGUGCUUCAUUAGCAGUUUAUAUGAGGCACUGGAGUCCUUCCCAAGCUUACCCUCCUGUAUCACCCAGGCCCAGAAAAGCCAGGCCUUGCAGCCAAGCCAAGAGCCUUCUGUCCAUGGGAGAUGGAUGGCCUGAAAGGGACACUCCAGGAUUGUCUGGGGUGGGGAGGGGGGUAUGGAGGGAAAGGAGGGUCAUGUCAUAUGUCUGGGGUUCAGCAAAUUGUACCCACAUACCAGGCACAGAAACAUACAAGGAAGGCACCCCCGCUCUGUGGGCGAGACAAAGCAGCAAUCCUCUUCCCACAUGCCAACCCAUCUUUUUCUUUGCCUUCACAAACGUGCCUUUUUUCUUUCUUCUUUUUUUGGUCCUCUGCAGCUUGGAAUACAUGAGGAAGAAGAGUGGGAGACAGGAGGAAAGGUAAGGUUGGGAGAGGGCAAGAGGAAAGGAGGAGAGUAGAGGGAACACUCCAUCGAUUGCCAGCACAAUAAACUGUAUCAUGGACUA
Molecule: long non-coding RNA, 12792 nt
Filed under: Homo sapiens (human)
Lineage: Eukaryota; Metazoa; Chordata; Mammalia; Primates; Hominidae
Description: HSALNT0386678
Source: RNAcentral